UACGGAGGGGGCUAGCGUUGUUCGGAAAUACUGGGCGUAAAGCGUACGUAGGCGGCUUGGCAAGUCAGGGGUGAAAUCCCGGAGCUCAACUCCGGAACUGCCCCUUGAAACUGCCUGGCUAGAAUCUUGGAGAGGUCAGUGGAAUUCCGAGUGUAGAGGUGAAAUUCGUAGAUAUUCGGAAGAACACCAGUGGCGAAGGCGACUGACUGGACAUGUAUUGACGCUGAGGUGGCGAAAGCGUGGGAGCAACAGG
Molecule: ribosomal RNA, 253 nt
Filed under: uncultured bacterium
Lineage: Bacteria
Description: partial 16S ribosomal RNA
Rfam family: Bacterial small subunit ribosomal RNA
Source: RNAcentral